This 637-nucleotide ribosomal RNA is filed under the name uncultured bacterium. RNAcentral describes it as "bacterial SSU rRNA". It matches the Rfam family "Bacterial small subunit ribosomal RNA", at positions 232 to 879 of the family's 1533-position model. The record is from RNAcentral.
CGCGGCCUAUCAGCUUGUUGGUGGGGUAAUGGCCUACCAAGGCGACGACGGGUAGCCGGCCUGAGAGGGCGACCGGCCACACUGGGACUGAGACACGGCCCAGACUCCUACGGGAGGCAGCAGUGGGGAAUAUUGCGCAAUGGGCGGAAGCCUGACGCAGCGACGCCGCGUGAGGGAUGAAGGCCUUCGGGUCGUAAACCCCUUUCAGCAGGGAAGAAGCGUGAGUGACGGUACCUGCAGAAGAAGCACCGGCUAACUACGUGCCAGCAGCCGCGGUAAUACGUAGGGUGCAAGCGUUGUCCGGAAUUAUUGGGCGUAAAGAGCUCGUAGGCGGUCUGUCGCGUCUGCUGUGAAAACUCAGGGCUUAACCCUGAGCUUGCAGUGGGUACGGGCAGACUAGAGUGCGGUAGGGGAGACUGGAAUUCCUGGUGUAGCGGUGAAAUGCGCAGAUAUCAGGAGGAACACCGGUGGCGAAGGCGGGUCUCUGGGCCGUAACUGACGCUGAGGAGCGAAAGCAUGGGGAGCGAACAGGAUUAGAUACCCUGGUAGUCCAUGCCGUAAACGUUGGGCGCUAGGUGUGGGGACCUUUCCAUGGUUUCCGUGCCGCAGCUAACGCAUUAAGCGCCCCGCCUGGGGA